RNAcentral lists this ribosomal RNA (921 nucleotides) under Pseudomonas sp. RNAcentral describes it as "bacterial SSU rRNA". It matches the Rfam family "Bacterial small subunit ribosomal RNA", at positions 53 to 1010 of the family's 1533-position model. Lineage: Bacteria; Pseudomonadati; Pseudomonadota; Gammaproteobacteria; Pseudomonadales; Pseudomonadaceae. The record is from RNAcentral.
AACUGCAGUCGAGCGGUAGAGAGAGCUUGCUUCUCUUGAGAGCGGGGGACGGGUGAGUAAUGCCUAGGAAUCUGCCUGGUAGUGGAGGAUAACGUUCGGAAACGGACGCUAAUACCGCAUACGUCCUACGUGAGAAAGCAGGGGACCUUCGGGCCUUGCGCUAUCAGAUGAGCCUAGGUCGGAUUACCUAGUUGGUGGGGUAAUGGCUCACCAAGGCGACCAUCCGUAACUGGACUGAGAGGAUGAUCAGUCACACUGGAACUGACACACGGACCGGACUCCUACGGGAGGCAGCAGUGGAGAAUAUUGGACAAUGGCCGAAAGCCUGAUCCAGCCAUGCCGCGUGUGUGAACAAGGUCUUCGGAUUGUAAAGCACUUUAAGUUGGUAGGAAGGUCAGUUACCUAAUACGUAUCUGUUUUGCGUUACCGACAGAAUAACCACCGGCUAACUCUGUGCCAGCAGCCGCGGCAAUACAGAGGGUGCAAGCGUUAAUCGGAAUUACUGGGCGAAAGCGCGCGUAGGUGGUUUGUUAAGUUGGAUGUGAAUCCCCGGGCUCACCUGGGAACUGCCUUCAAACUGACUGACUACAGAUGGCUAGGGUGGUGGAAUUUCCUGUGUAUUCCACAAAUGCGGAGAUAUAGGAAGGAGCACCAGUGGAGCACGCGACCACCUGGACUAUCACUGACACUGAGGUGAGAAGCGUGGCGAGCAACGGGAUUAGAUACCCUGGAAUCCCGGCGUAAACGAUGCCACUAGACGAUGGAAACUUGAGCUUUUGUGCCCCACCUAACGCAUAAGUUGACGUCUGGGGACACGUCGCAGGCAAACUCAAUGAAUGACGAGGACCGCACAACGCCCGAGAUGUGGUUAUUCGAGCACGCCAGACCUUACCAGACUUACUCGAUGACUUCCGAGAUGAA